Molecule: unclassified non-coding RNA, 356 nt
Filed under: plant metagenome
Description: partial contains 5.8S ribosomal RNA, internal transcribed spacer 2, and large subunit ribosomal RNA
Rfam family: 5.8S ribosomal RNA (bases 1-105)
Source: RNAcentral
GAAGUGCGAUAAUUAAUGUGAAUUGCAGUCGUACACGAAUCAUCGAGUCCUUGAACGCAUACUGCGCCCGAGGGUCCUCUCUCGGGCAUAUCUAGUUCAGUGUCUGUUUCAAAACCUUCUAAUCCUCUAAUGGGGGCUUUAGAGAUCUGGAGAUAGCAUAACUUGUGGAUGCUUGAUCUAAAAUAAAAGUCAAUUUGAUGCCGCUUUGGCUGAUCACUAUCGGAAGACCCGACUGAUAUUCAUUUAUUAGAGCGUUUGAAGGUAGCGUCGAGCUGUUUUUAAUAGGCUUCAUUGAUACUGAAACAACAUCUUUAUAUUUGACCUGAGCUAGGUAAGAAAACCCGCUGAACUUAAGC